RNAcentral lists this transfer RNA (73 nucleotides) under Spongospora subterranea. RNAcentral describes it as "tRNA-His". It matches the Rfam family "tRNA". Rfam says of the family: Transfer RNA (tRNA) molecules are approximately 80 nucleotides in length. Lineage: Eukaryota; Endomyxa; Phytomyxea; Plasmodiophorida; Plasmodiophoridae. The record is from RNAcentral.
GGCGAAUAUAGCUCAAUGGUAGAGUACUAGUUUGUGGAUCUAGUUGUUAUGGGUUCAAAUCCCAUUAUUCGCC